RNAcentral lists this transfer RNA (72 nucleotides) under Camelus bactrianus (Bactrian camel). It matches the Rfam family "tRNA". From Rfam's summary of the family: Transfer RNA (tRNA) molecules are approximately 80 nucleotides in length. Their secondary structure includes four short double-helical elements and three loops (D, anti-codon, and T loops). Further hydrogen bonds mediate the characteristic L-shaped molecular structure. tRNAs have two regions of fundamental functional importance: the anti-codon, which is responsible for specific mRNA codon recognition, and the 3' end, to which the tRNAs corresponding amino acid is attached (by aminoacyl-tRNA synthetases). tRNAs cope with the degeneracy of the genetic code in two manners: having more than one tRNA (with a specific anti-codon) for a particular amino acid; and 'wobble' base-pairing, i.e. permitting non-standard base-pairing at the 3rd anti-codon position. The record is from Rfam by way of RNAcentral. RNAcentral also lists the same sequence under 3 other names. Lineage: Eukaryota; Metazoa; Chordata; Mammalia; Artiodactyla; Camelidae.
GAGGGUAUAGCUCAGUGGUAGAGUGCAUGCUUAGCAUGCACAGAAUCCUGGGUUCAAUCCCCAGUACCUCCA